UACGUAGGGUGCAAGCGUUGUCCGGAAUUAUUGGGCGUAAAGAGCUCGUAGGCGGUCUGUCGCGUCUGCUGUGAAAACCUAGGGCUUAACUCUGGGCGUGCAGUGGGUACGGGCAGGCUAGAGUGCGGUAGGGGAGACUGGAAUUCCUGGUGUAGCGGUGAAAUGCGCAGAUAUCAGGAGGAACACCAGCGGCGAAGGCGGCGCUCUGGGCCGGUACUGACGCUGAGGAGCGAAAGCGUGGGGAGCAAACAGG
Molecule: ribosomal RNA, 253 nt
Filed under: uncultured bacterium
Lineage: Bacteria
Description: partial 16S ribosomal RNA
Rfam family: Bacterial small subunit ribosomal RNA
Source: RNAcentral